ACACACACACACAAUAAAUAGAUGACAGACGUUUGCCAAGCAUUCUUUCAUGCCGCCUCAGUGCAUUGUAUUUCUUUUUAAGUACUCCCUUGGAAAGUGAGUGUGUUUAGAGCAGAUGAACCAGCUUCUAUUGCCAACUUGACCCUGGAACUCACAGCCUGUGGGCCCCAAGCUCUGGAACCAUUUCAAACAGGACUUCAUUCACCACCCUCUUCCCCUCUCUGUCUCUGAGGCAGAGGCUGAUGGAACAGGGCACUUCAGCCCUUGCUGCCCUGUGUGUCAGGCUCUAUUGCAGGAAAACCUGACUGCCAGUGAACUCAGAUUGCUAUAGAAUUGUUGGCUCAGCCCCAUCAGAGCCUCAGAAAACCGAGGACCUCCAACCUCAAGCAGUGAAGGAGUGUGUUUUUUCCAAAUAAAUUUCAGUCGGAUAGUCAGACAGAAAUAACCUGAGAAGGUGUGUAUGGAUGUGUGUGCGUGUGCUUUUUUAUAUGACUGAACUUGUCUCCUUUUAUCAUUGACCCAAUUGAUCUGCCCUCUGACUCCAGCCGAGCUGCUCAGUUCCGUCACACCACCAAUGAGAACUGCACGUGCAUGACCUCCGACCCUUUAUGUGCUUGUUAGGGUUGUUGAAUGUAGAAGGUUGUGAACUCCAUAGAAUAUAGAAUACUCUUGCUAUGGUGAUUGCGGCCAUAAACUGCCCUUUCUGUCAUUUCCUUUCAUUCCACGGGCAUGGACUUUAUUGAUUGUUUCAUUUAUUCAGUGUUAAUCUUUUUUUUUUUUUCUGUACUGUCAUUUGCCUCGAAGUUUUAGGCACAAUUUAAAAGACAAUGAAUGCUCUACAUUGCUAUUUUAUGUGUAUAUUUUGUGAAUACUUUUGUGAGUAUUUCUGUAGGUUGCUCUUUGUAUUUCAACUCUUAUGACCCCUGCUUGGUGAUCAGCUGCACUGCAUUAACUGUUUGUACUGGUCUGAAUGACAGACCACGACUUUUGUAUUUUGGCAGUUUAUUCCCUCCACAUUUUCUCCUUGUACACAUUGCUGUCCAUUAGUUUUUCUUGUCAUGAAGAUAGUUUGUUUUUAUUGCAACAGAAAACAACAUUUGCAUAUUCAGAUGCUUUGUCUCCUGUUAAUAAAUGAACCCCUUUCUCACUUUUCCCACAGGAUUGUAUAUUACUAUGUUCAAUAAAACCAGAUUAUGUAUAUAUAUACAC
This is a long non-coding RNA of Scatophagus argus, 1209 nucleotides long. RefSeq lists it as uncharacterized. NCBI's taxonomy places the organism in Eukaryota, Metazoa, Chordata, Actinopteri, Scatophagidae. The transcript is spliced from 2 exons. The record is from RefSeq and is a predicted model, not a curated record.